This 475-nucleotide unclassified non-coding RNA is filed under the name Hevea brasiliensis (rubber tree). The record is from RNAcentral. Lineage: Eukaryota; Viridiplantae; Streptophyta; Magnoliopsida; Malpighiales; Euphorbiaceae.
CCCAUGUUUAAUGCAAACUCGAGUUCGGGCAGCGCCAGACGCCGUCUUUCACACGCCGGUAAUACACACCAAAAAUCGACCAUUUAAUUACCCAAUCAACCACCGAACCUCAGCCCCGCACGCCUAAAAAACUAGCUUCGGAGUCAGGUUCGGAAACCAAAAGCGACCGUGCCUCGAAAAAAGCCAAGCCACCAAAGGAAAUAAUGAGCUAGACAGAGAGAGAGUAAAAAAAGAGACUCCGUUUCUAGAGGGAGAAAGAGACGCAGAAACAGCGAGGUUUUUAGAGAGAGACAUUAGAGAUGGGACAGAUCGUGAAGAGGAAGAAGAAAGGAAGACCAUCCAAGGCAGAUCUAGCUCGGCGGUCGUCGGGGCAGAACCCAGAGCCUACUGAACCUCAUCGGCGGCGAAGUCUACGGCGCCGGAAUGUGAGGUAUAACAAUUUUAUCGACUACGAUGAUUACCUGGACGACUUCGA